CGUCCGUGAUGGUCUAGGGGGCUUCCGAAGUGAUUGGGCAGUGUCAGUCUUCAGCCGCUAAGCCGAGAAGAUCUGGGAAGGAGUCAGAGAGCGUUGGGCCAGAGUUCCAGGGGCUCUGGGAGUGGCUGCCAGGUCUGACCCUUGGGAAGAAUCCAGCACGAGAAAGCAACCCCAAAGAAAUACUCACAGUUCAGUGCCGAUGUGGCCGAGGCCAUUGCCUUCUUUGACUCCAUCAUUGCAGAGCUGGAUACAGAGAGACGACCCCGGGCUGCUGAGGCCAGCCUGCCAAAUGAAGAUGUGGACUUUGACGUGGCCACCAGCUCCAGGGAGCACAGCUUGCAUUCUAACUGGAUCCUGCGGGCACCACGCAGACACUCCGAGGAUAUCGCUGCCCACACUGUGCAUACUGUAGAUGGCCAGUUUCGAAGGAGCACUGAGCGCAGGACCGUGGGCACUCAGAGGAGACUCGAGAGGCACCCCAUUUAUUUGCCCAAGGCUGUGGAAGGGGCCUUCAACACCUGGAAAUUUAAGCCCAAAGCCUGCAAAAAAGACCUGGGGAGCUCCAGACAGAUCCUUUUCAACUUCUCAGGAGAAGAUAUGGAGUGGGAUGCAGAGCUCUUUGCGUUGGAGCCCCAGUUGUCUCCUGGGGAGGACUACUAUGAGACAGAGAACCCCAAAGGACAGUGGCUGCUUCGAGAAAGACUUUGGGAGCGGACGGUGCCCUGACUCCAUCUGGAUUCCUUGACGUGUCUCAGACUGGGUCCCUGAGAAGCUGUCCGCUUUCAGCGCAGCAUGA
RNAcentral lists this small RNA (796 nucleotides) under Pan troglodytes (chimpanzee). RNAcentral describes it as "processed transcript". Lineage: Eukaryota; Metazoa; Chordata; Mammalia; Primates; Hominidae. The record is from RNAcentral.